Molecule: long non-coding RNA, 2778 nt
Organism: Cephus cinctus (wheat stem sawfly)
Lineage: Eukaryota; Metazoa; Arthropoda; Insecta; Hymenoptera; Cephidae
Exons: 5
Source: RefSeq, a predicted model, not a curated record
UUUCCAUCUCGGUCACCCCUAGCUGCCCUCGACCUCCCACUCGACCACCCUCAACCAGCCAGCGCCUAAGUACCGACUUAGUCACUGCGGUGACUAACCAUCCCUUGAAGAAUCAAUGCUCCUAUGACUGCCAGGGCAAUUGAUCGUCACCUUCACCUCUCUCUGUUACUUUCUGACCUCUUGCACGUGAUACCUGAUCCACAGUCAACUAAGGGUUGAAAACUGUCACAUCGAUAUUCCAUCCACGCCAUCCGAGUAAACAAACCUGAAAAACACCGGUUGGAACUGCGAGACUUGCACCUUGUGCCGAAACAAGCAAAAAUCCAUGACAAGAAUUUCUCUUGGCGCAUUAUUCUCUUGAGCUGUUACUUCAGGUUAACGUAUAUCUACAAGAGACCUUAUGGCGCAGCACCCGCGUCUCAAGGGUCGAUGCGCAAUAUGUGCCUCGUCAUUCGUUUUAACACUCAACUGCUGAACGUAGCCCUCGAGUUUCUAAGAUCGAUUGACGUUACGUCGUUCUGUCGAUAGAGAGAAAAAAAAUAUAUGGAAAUUCGCCAUCAACUGGGAAUACCCUGGUGCGAGGUCUUCACCUAGAGUCGCUGCGUCAAAACUAGCUCGAUGAACAUUAACCUUAAUCGCAUUUGGCUUUUUGCCAGAGAGAUUCCCAGCUCCCAAGUGGCACUCGAAUCUGUAUAUAUUAUAUAUACAUAUACUGUACAGGACAUACAGAAAAUUAAAAUCCUGAGCAGCACCGGAGUCCCUUCCUGUUACCAGCAUCGAUCAUGAUUAAGGAAUUUAAGAGACAAUGUGGAGAUUUGAUGUUUACCAGCUUGUCCCAACUGCCUCAUUUACAUGAGUGUCCGAGGCCAAAGGAUCCUUGCCGCAGGAUCAACGUACUCUGUUGUGCGCGCCUACUACACGGUUAACUUGUACCUUGAAGGAGGACGAACGCGAGGAUGGAGGAAGCAGAAGGAAAGGCGCGUGCCUCGAGUCACUGAACGCAUUACAAUUAUGAUAAUAGAGGAAGGAAGCCAUGAUCACUCUCUACGCGUUGGCAGCUCAGAAUAUAUAUUCGAGAUGAUGUGACCGACUUAAAGGGCGAAGACAUCCCAAAGGUGUCCAUUCCUGAACGUCCUAGGGUGCCAAUGAACCUGACUUCAUCGUAGUCGACGUAGACUCUACCUAGGCAUCUCUAUGUAAUUGAUAGAGAUUCAGUGAACCCUUGUCCUACUUGGAGGGCACUCUACUCCAGCGUAGUCAACGCUGCACUACUUUCCGGCCGACCCUAUCGACUCUCGCUUACUGCGAUCUACGCUACGAGAGUUCAUCCUAGAAAUCUCCAUUCCCGUUUACCAUUCACCAGCUCGAGAAGCCAGCCAGCUAGCUCGGUGCUAGCAAUAUCUUGGGAAUUCGCGUGGAAGCCAAAAUGUCAGAAUACCAAUUCUUGUUUAUGCAAUUUUUUGCAUCUUGAGUUCCUUUUCAGGAUGAUCCCGGAUGAAACGUGCCAAGGUCGAUUCACAUAGAUGUUUCCUAGAACACUCAUUCUGGGUGCAGCCAGGUACCAAAUUCCAUCUGAUUUGCAUAGAGGCAUUAUCAAGGCCAGAUGACGGUCGAACAUCCAAUGCAAUUUCUUAUUCGGGUUCAUCAUUGUGUAUUCUGAGAAUUGCAGGGAACCUGGAGACUGUUGUUGUACUUCAUGGAAUCCGCUCUAAAGUUUCAAUCGAUCAUUCAACCAAUCUAGUCCAUGGCCGCAACGCGACGAUCGAUCCUCCCUGCCGCCAUUGCGAAAAGAGACACGGUGCAUCCUGGCUGCAUUGAUGCAUCGAUCCUGGUGUCUUGCGCUUUUUGGCCAAUUGGCUUUGACAGCCAGGAAAUUAGUUAAUUGCGGCACCCCGAUGGGAACCCGAAUAUCGACUCCUCACGAUGCUCUAAAAUGUUCUACAUCCGGUCCAAGUACGUUACCAGUUGCAGGCGCAGGGACCAAACAGAUAACAUUAUCAGUUCCUGGGCUGUUCUUUACUGUUAUUUAACCCUUUGAAUGCGAAGCUCUUCAGAUUUAAACCCAUGCCGGACAUGUAUAUGCGCCGAUAGCACUAAAACCUUUAAAUUUCUUAUAAAAUAUUAAUGAAAUUCUCAUUAAUCCACGCGAUAGCCCAUCUCAAAAACUUCUAGAAGCUCUACGCGUUCCUUGAUACCUUUAACUGUACUGCGUCUUCGAGUCCUUGUACGCACUGCGUAAAAUCUGACCUAUUGAUUCUUCCCAAUAGAGAAACAGGGUGUAUAGUCCAUCGUUCCCGCUGCUCCACUAAAGGCAAAGGAAGAUCGACGUAUCUCAGCUUGAUUGAGAGUGAAACUACUGCGACACCAGUAGCCUCCAGCUCUGCACCUUGUGGACGUCUUUUAUUUCAUGCACGUUCAAUUGCACAGCAUCCCACUCAGGUUCUAAAAUAUCAUCAAGCAAUCAUUUGCAUGUACAACCAAUACUUUAAAUCUCGGUUGAACAGUUUUUUUUUGGUAUUGUCAAUUGACACACAAGCAUUUUGCUUAUUUAUUAUAUUUUUUUCUUUUACGCCAGUAAAGAAGUCACGACGUUAGUCGCUCUCUGAUCAGCAUCCAUUGCGUCUGAAUCAUUUUAGGAAGAACCAGUCUACCGUGAAGCAGUCUGUAUCAUCAGAAGCGCUACUGGUAGCAUUGUGGAUCUAUAUAUCCUAGAAUAUCCUAUACCUCAAUAGUAUAUAGGAUACUUGCACAAGUACUUUAAAGCUAAUGAUCUAAUUC